ACACGUAGGGAAUUUACUCUUUAGAGGGGGAUAAUCUUAGGGAAACUGAGGAUAAUACCGCAUAAUCUUGUUUACAAGAAAGAUUUUAUUCGCUAAAGAAAUAAGCCUGCGCUAGAUUAAGAUAGUUGGUAGGGGUAAUGGCUUACCAAGUCGAAGAUCUAUACGCUGAUUUGAGAGAAUGGUCAGCCACACGUGGGACUGAGAUACGGCCCAGACUUCUACGGAAGGCAGCAGUGGGGAAUAUUGGACAAUGGGCCGCAAGCCUGAUCCAGCGAUGCCGCGUGAGUGAUGAAGGCCUUC
Molecule: ribosomal RNA, 300 nt
Filed under: uncultured bacterium
Lineage: Bacteria
Description: bacterial SSU rRNA
Rfam family: Bacterial small subunit ribosomal RNA
Source: RNAcentral